UUGGUUUUUAGUAUUUUGUUUGGUGUGUUGUUUUUGGUAUUUUGGAUUAGGAGGUUUAUUUUGCUUGUUGACUGUAACGUGACUCAUUCUCUGGCCAUCAAACAUCCUUAUACAGCUAAAACAGUGGUUGCAGUUUUUGUGAAAGAGGUGGUAAAGUAGUUACAUGGAUAUCCACAAUCUAUUGUGUCUGAUCGGGAUAGGGUAUUUAUCAGCAAUUUCUGGAACGAGUUGUUUCAACUAGCUAGUACUAAACUCCACAGAAGUUCAGCUUAUCAUCCACAAACAGAUGGACAGACUGAAGUUGUUAAUAGGGGGUGGAAGCAUAUCUUCGCUGUUUUUGUGGAGAAAGACCGAAAGAGUGGACCAAUUGGCUGCAUUGGGCAGAGUUUUGGCAUAACACAACAUAUCACAGCUCACUUGGUAUGACUCCUUUCCAAGCAGUGUAUGGACGACUACCACCACCAUUAACAUAUUAUGGUGAUAUGGAAACGCCUAAUUCCACUUUAGAUCAGCAGCUGAAGGAUAGAGAUAUUGUUUUGGGAGUCUUGAAGGAACAUCUCAUCAUUGCACAAGAACAGAUGAAUCGGUAUGCCGAUUUGAAGAGAAGGGAUAUAGAGUUUGGAGUGGGAGAUCUGGUUUUCCUCAAACUUAGACCAUACAGACAAACUUCUUUAAGAAAGAAAAGGAAUGAGAAGUUAUCUCCUAAAUAUUUCGGGCCAUACAAAAUUAUUGAGAAAAUUGGAGCAGUAGCUUAUAAACUCAAACUUCCAUCCACUGCUGCAAUUCACCCAAUAUUUCAUGUGUCUCAAUUGAAGAAGGCGGUAGGUGAUCAUAUGCAAGUGCAUCAAAUAGUGCCUUAAAUGAAAAUCGCGAAUGGAUGACAUCACUGGAAGAAGUAUAUGGUUAUUGAAAGAAUCCAAAUACGAAGGAUUGAGAAGUCUUAAUUGGCUGGAAGGGGUUGCCACCACACAAAGCUACAUGGGAACUAUGCACUGAUUUUCAACAGCAAUUCCCUGACUUCACCUUGAGGACAAGGUGGAUUUGGAGGAGGAGAGUAGUGUUAGACCACCAUUGUUAUUUACUUAUAAUAGAAGAAAGGAAAAUAAAUCACGUGAGGUACCAACAGUUGAUUAAAAAUUAAAAGAGGAAGUUAAGAAGAGGAAAGAAGGGGAUACAGUUACUUGGAAGACAGUUACUGGGAAGAGGGAGUUAAAUCGAUGAGAAGGGGAAAGGAGAAAGGAGGAGAUUUUGAAGUAAAAGAGGUCUGCAAUACUCCUUGAAAGACGGGGGAAGCAAAAGGCUGGUGUUCUGUGUUUUGGUUUGGUUUUUAGUAUUUUGUUUUGUGUGUUGUUUUUGAUAUUUUGGAUUAGGAGGUUUACUUUGCUUGUUGACUGUGAAUUAACUGUAACGUGACUCAUUCUGAGGUUCACAAUUUUUGUUUUAUAUUGUAAGUUGUGUUUGAAUUAUCAAUAUAACAGAAACACUACAUCAGUGUUCUAUCAUGAUUCUAAUGCUACCAAGAAAUAAAUUGGAGAGAAGAAGUGCAUAAGGUAUCAUGCAUCGGUAUAGAUGAAGCCUAAAAU
This 1583-nucleotide long non-coding RNA is filed under the name Cucumis sativus (cucumber). RNAcentral's name for it is "long non-coding RNA (CSAT_LNC000754)". Lineage: Eukaryota; Viridiplantae; Streptophyta; Magnoliopsida; Cucurbitales; Cucurbitaceae. The record is from RNAcentral.